Molecule: long non-coding RNA, 504 nt
Organism: Patella vulgata (common limpet)
Lineage: Eukaryota; Metazoa; Mollusca; Gastropoda; Patellidae
Exons: 3
Source: RefSeq, a predicted model, not a curated record
UUUGUACGUGUAAGAAAAUCAUCAAAAUGAAAUUGUUGUUUUUAGUAGCCGUCGUAGCAGCUGUAUGGGUAGUAGAAGCUCAACGAGUCUGUGACAGCGACCGUGAUUGCGCAGCUGUGAUCGACUGUCACGCUCACGAAGAACAUCACUGUAAUCUACAUGAUGGGAGAUGUGAAUGUAGAGACCGCGCUGUUGGAGCCCCACCAGGUACCUGUACUGAUGAUGACUUGUCUAACUGUCAGUGUGAACAUGGCGGAACCCCAGGAUGUCUACACAGUCACUGUCACUGUAAUCAUAAUUAAAAAAAACCCAAAAUAACAGCCCCCAGAGUGGAAAAUACUUUAGUAUCACGAGACAUCAUUUUGAAACAAUGAGAAUAUCCAAGUUGGGUCAUGAUCAUUUUAUUUUUUCUUACUUUUAUUUUUGUGCUUGAAAACGAUAUGGGAAUACUUGUCGAAACGUUGUGCUAUAUGUCAAUAAAUCAGUGAUUAAUUUCCUUAUAAA